This 253-nucleotide ribosomal RNA is filed under the name uncultured bacterium. RNAcentral's name for it is "partial 16S ribosomal RNA". It matches the Rfam family "Bacterial small subunit ribosomal RNA", at positions 524 to 776 of the family's 1533-position model. The record is from RNAcentral.
UACGUAGGGUGCGAGCGUUAAUCGGAAUUACUGGGCGUAAAGCGUGCGCAGGCGGUUUUGUAAGCCGGAUGUGAAAUCCCCGGGCUUAACCUGGGAAUGGCAUUCGGGACUGCAAGGCUGGAGUGCGGCAGAGGAGACUGGAAUUCCUGGUGUAGCAGUGAAAUGCGUAGAUAUCUGGAGGAACACCGGUGGCGAAGGCGGCAUCCUGGACCGGCAUUGACGCUGAGGCGCGAAAGCCAGGGGAGCAAACGGG